RNAcentral lists this ribosomal RNA (372 nucleotides) under uncultured organism. Its description in RNAcentral is "partial 16S ribosomal RNA". It matches the Rfam family "Bacterial small subunit ribosomal RNA", at positions 527 to 896 of the family's 1533-position model. The record is from RNAcentral.
GUAGGUGGCAAGCGUUGUCCGGAAUUAUUGGGCGUCAAGCGCGCGCAGGCGGUUCUUUAAGUCUGAUGUGAAAGCCCACGGCUCAACCGUGGAGGGUCAUUGGAAACUGGAGAACUUGAGUACAGAAGAGGAAAGCGGAAUUCCACGUGUAGCGGUGAAAUGCGUAGAGAUGUGGAGGAACACCAGUGGCGAAGGCGGCUUUCUGGUCUGUAACUGACGCUGAGGCGCGAAAGCGUGGGGGAGCAAACAGGAUUAGAUACCCUGGUAGUCCACGCCGUAAACGAUGAGUGCUAAGUGUUAGGGGGUUUCCGCCCCCUUAGUGCUGCAGCUAACGCAUUAAGCACUCCGCCUGGGAGUACGGCCGCAAGGCUG